UCUGAAGUGAAUUUUAGCUCUCAGUCCUAUGAAUAAUUACCAAUAUGAUGAAUAUUUUUGAAUUGUAUGCUCCUUAAGGGUAGAGACCAUAUCCUAACUUGUGUGGCUACAAAUCCCCUGUGUUGCCUUGAAUACAAUAAAAUCCUCAAUUAAUAUGUGAUCAGUGAUUGAAAGCCAUGUAAACUCUUUUUCUUCCAGACUUUUUUUUUUUUGGAUGGCACUGUGGAAGAAUUUCACACUGCGAUAUCAUACUUACAUAAUGGACCCACCCACACAUGUUCUCCUACAGAACUCGCUCUCUUGGAUUGUUUCUUUGCAAAGGGUACAUCAAGGACAAUCUGUCUUUCAAAUGAAAAGCAUGAAACUUCAAUUGUCCUCAGAUCCAGAAACCAUUUUUACAAUUGGAAUCUUUAAGGAUUGGACGACCUCCAAAAGCAGACCAGGAAAACUCCCAGGAUGCCAGACCAUUAGGCAGAGCUUCAAGAGUUUCGUGGGCACUGCUCUUGCCUACCAUCAUUUCCCACUCACCCUGGAAAGUGCAAGUUCUAUCAUAGGUUACUGGGCAAGUUCCUGAUGAUCCUAUGGGGCAUGCCAGUUUUGUUUGCUUUCCAUGUAACAAUUACCAAUCUCAAACUUUUCUUUCCUGCUUUUUAAUUCUCUGAUAUAUUUAUUUCACUAAAUGCUGGUUUAAUCCUGCCUUGUGCCUUUUAAAAAAGCUCUUUUUUUCUUUAUUUAUGUAUCCUUUAAAAAAAAUUAAAAUCCUUCCUUUUGGUUUUAGUAACAACUCUAAGAUAGAAAGGCAAGGGCUAGGAGAAUGGUGUUAAGUGACUUGCCUACAGUUGCACAGCUAGGAAGUAUCUGAGACCAUAGUUGAACCAGGUCCUUCCAACUCCAGACUGGUGCUCAAUCUACUGUGCUGCUCCUUUUUUCUUUUUAAAAGACAAUAUGUUUCUACCAUGACCUCGGUGGCUAACUCAUUAGUAUUGCUUACUAUUGUUCAGUCCUUUCAGGCAUGUCUAUUGCUAUGUGACCCAAUUUGAUGUUUUCUUGGCAAAUACAUUGGAGUCAUUUGCCAUUUCCCUGUCUAGUUCAUUUUAGAGAGGGGGAAACUGAGGCAAACUGAGACCUUGCCUGGAGUCACACGGCUAAUAUGUGUCUGAGGGCAGAUCUGAACUCUUUGUCUUCCUGAUUUCAGGUCCAGUGCUCAAUCCACGGUGCCAUCUAGCUGCUUUCAUUAGUAAUGCUAUCUAUUCAAAAAUUAUUUUGGGGAAUGUGAUUUUGACAAAUAAUUGCUUAUUCUGUGGAUAAAGAAAUACACAUUGCCAAAGAUAUAAUGUUGGUCACUUUUUGGUAAGUAAGCCCUGAGAGAGGAAGUAGAAACUGCACAUUUACUUAGAACUAUUUGCCCCAGAAACUUCUGAAGAGUCUAAUAAAACCUUCUUCAUUUGGACUUCA
RNAcentral lists this long non-coding RNA (1455 nucleotides) under Monodelphis domestica (gray short-tailed opossum). RNAcentral describes it as "lncRNA (ENSMODG00000046830.1)". Lineage: Eukaryota; Metazoa; Chordata; Mammalia; Didelphimorphia; Didelphidae. The record is from RNAcentral.